RNAcentral lists this ribosomal RNA (253 nucleotides) under uncultured bacterium. Its description in RNAcentral is "partial 16S ribosomal RNA". It matches the Rfam family "Bacterial small subunit ribosomal RNA", at positions 524 to 776 of the family's 1533-position model. The record is from RNAcentral.
UACAGAGGGUGCGAGCGUUAAUCGGAAUUACUGGGCGUAAAGCGCGCGUAGGCGGCUUUGCAAGUCGGGUGUGAAAUCCCCAGGCUUAACCUGGGAACUGCAUUCGAGACUGCAUUGCUAGAGUAUGGGAGAGGGAAGUGGAAUUCCCGGUGUAGCGGUGAAAUGCGUAGAUAUCGGAAGGAACAUCAGUGGCGAAAGCGACUUCCUGGACCAAUACUGACGCUCAUGUGCGAAAGCGUGGGGAGCAAACAGG